Callithrix jacchus (white-tufted-ear marmoset) is the source of this 10475-nucleotide non-coding RNA. The record is from RefSeq and is a predicted model, not a curated record. Lineage: Eukaryota; Metazoa; Chordata; Mammalia; Primates; Cebidae.
UCAUCCCAAUCACUUACUAGCUACAUGAUGUCGGGCAAGUGGCUACAGCUCUUUGAGCCUCACUCUCCUCACCUGUAAAAUGGAUGUAAAAAUUGUAUUCCCCCCUUAUAGGGUUAUUGUGAGGAUUAAAUGAGAUAAUGCUAGUGAAGGGCAUUAUCUGUACCUGGCAUAUAGCACUCAAUACUUGUUAGAAAAGCCUUUUUUUUCCCCAUUCUCAUUUAAAUCUAAUGAGGAAGGUACUAACCUUAUUUCACAAGUGAAGAAACUGAGACUCAGAGGUUAAAUUAUUUGUUGAAAGUCAACAGUUAGCUGGGUACAGUGGCUCAUGCCAAUAAUCCGGCACUUUGGGAGGCCAAGGCAGGCAGAUCACUUGAGAUCAGGAGUUUGAGACCAGCCUGGUCAACAUAAUGAAACCCCAUCUCUACUAAAAAAAAAAAAAAAAAAAAAUUAGCUGGGCAUGGUGGCACACACCUGUAAUCCCAGCUACUCAGGAGCCUGAGGCAGGAGGAUUACUUGAACCUGGGAGGUGUGGGUUGCAGUGAGCCAAGAUUUCACCAAGAUUGCACUCAGCUUGUUAAAAAAAAAAAAAAAAAAAAAAGAAUACCAGUAAGUGGGGAUCAUUGAGAGAAAAGAAAAAAAAAAAAAGAAAAGAAAAAAGCCAAAAGCUAAUAAGUUAAAGACUUGAGAUUUGAAUCCGUAUCUUUCUGAUUCCAUUCUUACAGAACUAGACUAAGGGAGUGCCCUGGGCUCAAGUUCUGCCUGACCUCCGGCCACUUUGUGACUGAGUAAAUUCUCUCAGAGCCUCGGUAAAUUUCCCUCUCUGUAAGACCAGACUGGUGGAUCACUGUAAGGGUGGAGUUCCCCAUCAAAAUCAUCUUGAUUUGCUUUUCUAGAUUACUGAUGUUCUUUCUCCGAUGCUGUGAUCUGCCCCCGUGCAGGAUGCACAGUCCUUCAUCCCUCCCUCCUUUCCAUGAUGAUGCCAUCCAGAAGCCACUGUUCCCAAAAACUGUGAUGCUUCUCCUUGGCAUGCUGGGGAGGAGUAAAGGUUAGGACGACUGUGAGUGAGCACUGAGAGCCAGGGUUCCCCUGUGUGUCUCUGAAAGUUGUGUGCUGAACAACUAUGCGCCAUUUACCAGAUGGGACAUGCGCUGCUGGACAUGAGGACCCUGCUGACAGUCAUCCUUUUCUAACACUUGAAUGCUUUUUAGUUAUCCAAAACGCUUGAUGACAAUCUGUUGACCUAUAUUCAAAUACUGAAAGAACACAUACCCACAUGUCAACAGUGCUUCUCUGUGGGCACUGAAAUAACAGGAUUUAAAUGUUUUCCCUGCCUUGCCCCUGAAUGGGCUACAUUGAACUUGCAUUGCUCUUGUAAUUAGAAAUUCUAUAUAAAGGCUCAGUUUAAAUGUCUUUAAACCAAAAUAAGUUCCCAUUGACAAAUAGUCAUGUGUUUCAUGUUUCCUGGGGCAAGGGCAGGGAUGAAGAGAGUGAAGACUGACUCCUUGCUCAGUGAUCCCCUAGGAGGCACAGGAAUGGAGGCGGGGGGUUGCUGUAUGGCUUGCGGGCUGCUCAGCCAUCUGAUUUGAUUUUGAUUUUGCGAUUAAAAUUACUCUCAUUUAUUGAGCACUUAAUGCUGCGAUGCUUGCUUUAGAUGCUCCAUCCCAUUCCUACCUGUAAAAUGGGGUCACAUGGUUGGCCAGUUACUAAAGCUCUGAGAUUGACUGCCUGGGAACUUGGAUAAGCAAUUCCACUUCCUUACCUCAGUUUGUCCUCAGUGAAAUGACUGCUAUGAGGAUUAAAUAAGAUAACAGUGUCCUUAGUAUGUGUCAGGCACUGUUCUAGUGUUUUACAUAUAUACCAUGUAAUUCAAGAGGCCUAUGAAGUAGCUGCUCUAAGUAUCCCUGUUUUACAGAAGACGUAAAAGUCCCAAAGAGGCGAUAUAACAUCUGAGGUCACCUGGCUGUCCCCUUAAUGGCAGAGAUGAAAUCAAACUGAAGUUGGCCUGAUCCCAAAGUUGUGGUAAUAGUCCUUUCAAGCUUCCUAGUCCCUUUUAUGGAACAAGAUCUAGGAUGUAUAGAUAGAAGGGAGAUGGGAGACAGGGAAGGAAGAAAAGUAGAUAGGUUGGUUGAUGGUAUCUUUAAGCUAGAUAGAUUUGUAAGCUUCUGGUGGGCAGAAACCAUACAAGGGAAAAUAAAUCUCAUAUAGUACUUGUCCUGUGUCUCAACACAAUAGGUGUUCAAUAAAUGUUUGUUGAAUAAAUGAAAAAUGGAUGAAUGAAUAUAAUUUACACAAAUUACUGACCUUCUGGGCAAAUUAGGUGUUGCCUUCUACCCACCCUGCCCCCAAGGAAGACCUCCAAAGUUUGAAUUCCUCUACUCCCUCUUAUUUUCCUGUACUGAUGCUUUCUCUUUGCACCCGCAACUUCAAGUCUGUAAAUAGUUUCCCAUCAUGCCUCAGUGGGAUCGACCUGGGGAUUAAAUUAAAUGAGAUCUUGAUGUAAAGCCAAUGGCAAAUAGAUACCCAAUAAAAGGUAGCUGGUGUUAUAGUGAGCACCCAGCUUAGAAAAAAGGCCUCAGCCCCUUCCCCUUUCCACCCUCAGUGCACAGCUAAGUCCACAGUAUUCAGCACUCAACCUUCCUUAAAAACAAUCUCUGCUAUAUUCAGAGCUCUUUUCAAAGUGUUUUCCUAUGUUUCCUCUCCUCUGAUCCAUACAGCUACCCCAGGAGGAGGGGACAAGAGUGCAUUGUUGGCCUGGUUUGUUAGAUAGACGGGUUCAGAGAGAGUGCCCCUAGUUAAGUGGAGGACUUUGGAUUGACCUUCAACUUUCAAAGCAUUAUCCUAGAUACCAUUAUGGGUCCUAAGGGGUCACAGAAGUGCAGCCCUGGGCACUCACUCAAAGCUCAUUAAAAUAUUCUUUACAAGUGAGAUUUUUUGUUUUUUUGUUUUUUUUUUUUUGAGAUGGAGUCUUGCCCUGUCGCCCAGGCUGGAGUGCAAUGGCACAAUCUUGGCUCACUGCAACUUCCGCCUUCUGGGUUCAAGCGAUUCUCCUGGCUCAGCCUCCCAAGUAGCUGGGAUUACAGGCGUCCGCCACCACACCCAGCUAUUUGUUUGUUUGUUUGUUUUUGAGAUGGAGCCUUGCUCUGUUGCCCAGGCUGGAGUCCAGUGGUAUGAUCUUGGCUCACUGCAACCUCUGCCUCAUGGGUUCAGAUGAUUCUUGUGCCUUAGCCUCCUGAGUAGCUGGGACUUCAGGUACACACCACCAUGCCUGGCUAAUUUUUUUGAUAUUUUUAGUAGAGACAGGGUUUCACUGUGGUAGCCAGGAUGGUCUUGAUCUCCUGACCUUGUGAAUCAACCCACCUCAGCCUCCCAAAGGGCCGGGAUUAUAGGUGUGAGCCACCAUGCCCAGCAAAGCUCAUUAAAAUAUUCUUUAACAUUUCAUUUGAACAUUUAACAUUUAAAGUAUAAGCUUCAUUAUAAUGUUCUUAAGCAGAGGGAUAGGCCACACACCCUGCAUAGAGAAUAUGGCCUUUCUUUGAAGGCAUGGAUGGACCUGGAAGCUGUGCCUGCAGAGCAGUGGAAGGGGCAGCUUUCAGUCCCUUUUGCAUUUUGUACUUUAGAUUGUUAUCCCAGUUCUUCCAAUAACACCACCUACAUUCCUUCCUGGAGCUUCCUUGGACAUGAGGGAUCAUGGAGUCUAAAUAGUCACCCUGAAAUCUCUCCUUAAAAAUAAAAGUCUCUUAAAACAAGCAGUUUUUUUUUUCAUUUAUCCAGUUGAUAAAGAUGAAAGAAAAUGCUAAUCACACUACUGUCCAGGGAAAACAAGCACCCUCCUUGCUGGAAGGAGAGUGAGCCAGUCCAAGCUUUGGCUAUUGGGUUUAGCUCAUCCUUUGAUCUAGCAAUUUCACUCACAGGAAUUUUGUCUAAGCAAAUAAUCUUUGUGUGCAAAGAGUUACCUACAAGGAUAUGCGUCAGAGCAUUGUUUGUAAUCCUGAAAAAUUAGAAUUAAUAAAUAUACUCUUCAGCAGAGAUUCAGUAAAUUAAGAUACCUGAAUGUAGCUGCAUGCCCCGCUACAGUUUAAAAGGAUGCUGCAGAGGUUUCCUUAGUACCAUGGAUGUUAUUUACUGUGGUUUCAGUACAGUUAGCAGUUAUGUGUCCUCAUGAUGUUCCAGGCACUGGACUCAGUGUUUGACCUCAUAUAAUUCUCACAACCACCUUAUGAUGUAAGUACUAGUAUCCUUAUUUUGCAAGUGAGGAAAGUGAGGCCCAGGAGUGAAACUUGCUAAGGUUAUUUUCAGGGAGUUUCUGAGCUAAGUCUUGAAUCUGGGUCUGAUUCCCUACUUUUAAGUCUUCCAUUUAUGUUUAGUAAAUUAGUCCAUUCCUAUUUUUAAACUCUAUAUGAAUAGAGAAAACAAUAAUUCACCCCAGGGAGUAUUUAUUGGGGUCAGUGGUGAUUUAUGCUUUAUUUUGUUUCUGUGGAUAUUAUUUCUUCUGUUAAUAGAAAAAAUAAACUUUAUAGUUAUUGAAAAGUAACAAAUCAGAGAAGGCUUAUCCUCUGCCCAGGCAGAGAAAAGGAAGAAGCAGCAAGAGUGCUGUCUUGAGAUUCUUUCUCUGUUGCCAGGAACCAGCCAGAACAGGAGGCAGCCAGGGAGAGAGGAGGCAGGAAGAAUGCAGUCCUGGAAGGAGAGGGCCUGCUGGGAAGAACAGAACCCAGCUGCCUUGGCCCCAGGGGUCAGACAGGGGUUGAGAUGAGGAUUUCCUUGAAAUUGGAGGACAAUUGGCCUAGGCCUGGCUUGGACAGAGGGUCUUGGUGCCCCAGUGCUGAAUGGAAUGAGUAGGUGGCCAGGGUCAGUGCUGCCUUCCUAGGUGAGGGUUGGGUGGGGUGAUUUGGGGCAGGGCAGGGCGGGACCUGCUCUGCUCAGAGAAGUUCAGAUAGGCACAAUUAAUCCAUAAGGUCCUAACUUCUCCUGUUUCUUAGGAGUGUUUCUUCAAAGGCUGCCAUUGGUGUUUAUUUAGGUCUGAUCUCACUGGAGAGGGUCGGGGGGAGAGAGGGUUUUGACGAGGCCUUUCUGGGCCCUGUAUCCCCCUAGGAAGGCAAAGGCCAUGUGGUCAGAGGUUAAGUGUUCAACCUUAGGCCUUGAGCAUUCAAGUGAGGGGUUUUCUGAAUCCACUGCUGGCCUGCCAGGGAAUUUUUCAAGGCCAUCAGUUUGGGGCCCCACGGUCCAGCAGUGGAGGAGGAAGGACUUAGAAACUGUGGCCUGCAGGAGCCUUGGAACCAUAUCUACACCAAGAUCAGGCCCUCUGGCUCUUCCCUCAGGAAGGUAACCACUCAGAAGUCACCAUCAGUCUGCCCAUCCCUCACUUGCCCCUGCUCACCCUUUCAGCCUGUGCUCUGGACAGACUGCCACCUUGCCUAGGCACAUGCGUUAUUCAUUUAUCCAUUCAUUCAGUGAGUAUGGAGUUAUAUAAUCAUUACCAAUUAAAAUAAUUCUCAUUUUUUGAGCACUUAGCUUUAUGCCUGGGUCUGUACACUUUACCUGUCCUGUUUCACUCAGUCCUUACAAGUGCCCACCUCUGUUUUAUAGAUGUGGAAGCUGAGACUUAGAGAAGCCAUGAAACUUGAUCAGGUCAUGCUGCGCCAGAGUACCCAAGCUGGGAUCUGAACCCAGACUGUUUGGCUCCAAAGCUGAACUGCUACAUUACGUUGCCUCAGCAAGCAGUCAUUCAGGUGACUUGGUGAGGACGUGCUCUGGUCAAGCAGCUGUGCCAUAGUCUGGUGAGAGAAAUGAAUAAGGUAUAUUCCUGUACACAGGAAGCCCAGUGGGGGAACCUUGAUGAAACCCUUCUACUCAAAAACCUUUCCUCUGCUUGCAAACUAGAUGUUUGCAAACACUGUUUUGUUGUCAAGUUUCUCAAAAUCUUUUCUGUUGGAGGAGUCCAUUAGAGUUCUCUAAUUUCACUCUUCAGGUGAUGCAGAAGUCUCUACUGCAGACUACCUGCCCCCCUCCACACACACACACAAGGUGGAGACCAUCUAGCUUGGAUUUUAGAGCCAGUCUAUGUGAGUCUGUAUCCUGGCUCAACCAUUUACUACUUGUUUGACCUUGGGCAAGUCCUUUGACCACUCUGAGUCUCAAUUUCUUCAUCCAUCAAGGAGGCAUAACUUCAAUGUUGUGAGGUUUUUGCAAGUAAAGUAACACAUGCAAAACAUUCAGCACCACUCUGGUGUAUAGUAAGACCUGAGAAGUGCCAGCCAUUGUCUUUUGUCAUUAGGGAUGGGCAUCUCUUGCUACCCCAGUGAAGCAGUUCCUUGUCUUGUCUCUUCCUCUGCUUCUGCCACCUGGGGCACUCAGCCCAAGGCAAAUAUACCUGAUGAUGGGGGUUAGUCAUCAGGUUCCCCUGCCUCAGAGGAUGAGAGCAUGACUGCUGCUCUCUGCCCAGGCUCCUAAGAAAUCUGAUUCAUGCCUUGACAGCACUCUAUGAAUAUGCAUACUUCAGCCUCAGCCCUGGCUCCUUUCACAAUGAGCUCAGUCAUUUGCACCUCUUAGGUCAUGUGCAGACAUCCUCAGUAUUACCCACUGAUGGUCCCUGGAGAAACCUCUAAAAAGAUGAGUCUUGAAAGGCAGGUGACAGUGACUUGACUCUCUAGCCCAUGGCUUUGCCUGUUUGGCCAUAUUUCAAAACUGCCAGGGGCCUCUGAAUUGACUGAUGACCCAACAGAGGGUCGCAUUAUUUCAUCUGGUUGCUCUUAAAGUGACAGCUUGGGACAGUCCCAUCUGAAUGGGACCUGGGAGCCUUUUGUUUCACCCUCUUUCUCUCUCCAGUCCUUGGGCGGGGCGGUGGGGGGAGUUCCCUGAAACCCAUGAGAUAGUUGGGGGAUACUGAAAGUUAAGCCCCUCAAAGAGAAGACGUGUGCCUUAGAUUAAUGUUAGUGAUUACAAGCUCCGGGUUUUGAGACUGAUCGGGAUUUGAAACCUGGCUCAGCUUUUUAUUAGCUGUGACCCUAAGUUUCAUAAAUUGUUUUCUCUGAGUCUGUUUUCUCAUCUAUAAGUGGGAUUAAUAGUAGUAUUUAUUUCACAGGAUGGUUGUAAGGAUUAAAUGCAUGAAAGCACUUAACAUAUUGCCUGGCACAUAGUAAGUGCUGCAUGGCUGUUACCAAUAUUACGAUGCAGCAGGAGAGACAGCACCGGACCAAGGGGCAGGAGAUGUAGGUUUGAGUUCCAGCUCUGCUGCUUGCUGACUCUGUUGACCUCAGGCGAGUCCUCUUCAUUUGAGCCAGUUUCAUCAGCUGUGAAAUGAAUGGUUUGAGUUUGAAGGUCACUCAGGUUCUUUCUAGCUGUCUGAGAUCUCUGACUUUGAAGGUGACAAACAAAGGAAAAAAGAAUUAGUAGCAGAUGCCUUUAUUAGCCACGAUAACAUUUCAUAAACCCCAGGGCCUUGACACCAUCUUCAAAAGCCACCCAGUCAGCAGCUUCUAGGCAGAACUUUCUUGACCACAUAGGGUGAAGGAACUGUUUGUAAGACCCCAGAAAGCUCUCCGGAGCCACUGGAAGGCCUCAGGGAAGGUGUAAGGCUAAAAAGCAAAGCCUGCAUCACAAAGAGAGCAGGCAGAAGAAAACCAGCUAACCCCAAACAUCAGACCUGGGGGAUUCUGCCUUUUGUUGCCUUGGGCAAGAAUCAUCCUCCAGCAGAAUGGAUUAGUUUAUGGUAAGGGAGGGAUGUUGUCCCUAGAGGCUGGGGAUGUACUGAUCUGUUGUAAAACAGCCCCCACCUGGGAAAUAGAACAUUUUCUUUUUUGGGGCCUAGUGACCUCUGACCCUGCCCCCCUUCCUGGCCCACCACACAGUCUGAGUCACACCCAGCAGGAGACAAAUGCUGGGAAUGGAGGAGGCAUUCAGGAUCCCCCUUACCCAGAAGAGUCUCCACCAAGUUAUUCUUAAGCCCUGCAUGAACCCCGAGGGGGUGACAUCGGUGGGAUUUACAGAAAAUAAAAACAAUCAGUUUCAACUCGUUCUACCAGUUUUUGCCCCUUACAGUACAAAGUCUCUUAACCAUCUUUAAUGUGACAAAUUUCCCUUUACAAGACAAUGGGCUUUAGAGGAAUUUAGUGAUGUUACUAACAAACUUAAGUACUUUGUGCUAAGCCCCUGGUGCCCAAAUGUUUCAGGUGAGAAAACCUGAAACAUGAAAAGCAGAGAGGUAAAGUGAUUGGCUCAAGUGGUGGAGCUGGUAUUUGAACCCAGAUCCCCUGUUACUUCAGAACCUCGGCUACCACCGUGAUUUUUUGUGCAAACCUGUCUGAAGCCUGUUGGUGAAGCUCUGCCCAGCUGUGAAGAGACACAGAUCUGCCUGCCUUCCGUGGAAGGCUCAGACUCUCUUUCUGGAAGGUCUACCUUCUCUUCCUUGGUGGCUGGGGGAACAGAAGCACAGUGAGGGAGGUGAGUGUGCCAUAUGAUGAGAGGACAGAGCUCAGUGCUCUUCAUUCCUCUGCUUGUGGGAAAGAGGCCAGUUCUAGGGGUGGGGAUUGCAAAGGAGCACCCUGCUUUCCUGUCCUUGUCACAUCCCAUGGCCAGUAGCCAGGUACUUUUUUCUCCUGCCUAGCAAAUAUAGUAUCCAGCUGCAGCCACUUUGAAGAUAAAGUUUCCUCCGUAGGAAUUCAGCAAUACAGAUGUCCUUCCACAGUCCCAGUUCAGCCUUCAUCAGUUCCUUUUCCCGCUGGGAAGUUUCUUUCUUCUUCCUAUUUCCAUGUAACUGUGAGGCAAGGCUCAAACCCACUUCCUUCUCCUUCCCCUGCACCUUCCUGUGGAAGGAGCUCCCGCUUGUUCACAGCUCCAGGCUCUUCCCUACUCUGGCCCAACCUAUGGCAUUUGGUCCAUAACUCUCCUUGAUCUGAACCACUUCGGAUUUCUAUCAAGUCAUGUCAGGGAAUCACACAAAUGUAUUCUGAGAAAUAUAAGAAUGCCUGAGAUGUUCUAGGCAGAAAAGAUUCUGAUAUCAAAACAUUCGGGGAAAGUUUCACACCUCUUCUUAGAAAUGAACAAGGCACAGUCAUCAAGCCUCUGAAAAGUCCUGCAGUGAGGAAACCUGCUUUGUUUUUUAACCCAGUAUUUUCCAAACUAAGAUGACCGUAGUUUCAUCUCCUCCAUCCCCGCUGAAUCCUGUAACGGCCUGUAGAACCAGUGAUCCACUGUGGAACACUCUUUCGGAAACACUGUCCCCAGCCCUCCAGGAAGGCAUAGAGUUGACCUUGCCUUCAUUUAUUUAAGCCCUUCCUGUUUCUCUGGGCUAUUUACUUGUUAUGUCACAUACAAAAUAAUCUAAGGUAAUAUCUGCCCAAUUGGGUUUUUAGGAAAGACAUACCCAAUGGGAAUGAAGCUUUUCCUAGCAGGAUUUGAUGAGCCCAUUACUAGGGGAAAAAAAUGAAGGAUUUCCCAGAAUUUGGGGUUGGGGAGAGAAUUUGAUAUAACCAGCAGAGGCUGAGUGCAAUGGCCUACACCUGUAAUCCCAGCACUUUGAGAGGCCAAGGAGGGAAGAUUGCUUGAGCCCAGGAAUUCAAGACCAGCCUGGGCAACAUAGCAAGACCUCAUCUCAAUUUUUUAAAAAAGGAACAACUAGAAGAAAGGAUUUACCAAACUUACUUGUUUCCUAGUUAAAGGAUAAAGCCAGAGAUGUAAUGGCAGAAACCAAAAUCUAGAGCACAGUACCAGAUAAAUACCUUCAGUGCGAAUGAAUGAAUGAGCAGACUACUGAUCACAAAGUUGGCAGACAUUGUGAAUGAAUGGAUGAAUUAUUAUAAUAAACAAUCAAAUAACUGGUCCCCAGGCCUCCAGACUUCCUUAACUUCAUUUUAUCUACCUGCUGUGGCCAGGUAUAUAUCUUCCCAAAACCCAGAUCUCAUCAGUCCACUCUUCUGUACCCUGGCUGGCUCCCCAUUGCCUUCAGGAUAAAGUCCACAUGCCUUUGUCCUGGCAUUGAAAACUCUGCAAAACAAAGCUCCAACCUAGCUUUCCAUCCUUCUUUCUCCUCCCCACUGGGUACCCCUUACUCUAGUCACAUCAGUCCCCGAUACACUUACCCAUCUUCUUUUCCUUCUCAUGCUAUUCCAUAUACCUCACAUUUUCUCCCCUGCUCCAUGGUUGCUUAUUCAGUCGUAGCAGUGCUUUCAGGCUCAGCUCAAACCUUAUCACCCAUAUUAAAUGAAAGAAGUCAGACACAGGAAGAGGACACUCUGAAUGAUUCCAUUUAUAUGAAGGUUAAGAACUAAACUAUUGUGGGGAAAAAAAAAUACAAAACUGUGGUUGCCUUUGGGGAGUGAGGAUUGAUUAGAAGGGGUUUUUUGGAGUAUGAAAAUGUUCUUGAUUCCAGUGGUAGUUUCAUGGAUGAAUACAUUUACCAAAGUUCAUUGAAUUGUACAUUGAAGAUCUGCAUUUCUCUGUGUCAUCAAUUUAAUCUAAAAAUAAAAAUCUUACUGCCCAGA